RNAcentral lists this long non-coding RNA (2486 nucleotides) under Homo sapiens (human). Its description in RNAcentral is "HSALNT0091232". The record is from RNAcentral. Lineage: Eukaryota; Metazoa; Chordata; Mammalia; Primates; Hominidae.
AUGUUUCUGGUCACAAAACAAUGACCAAGCUUCUAAAUAAAGACCUAAAUACUUCUCAUAUUAAACAAUGAAUUAAGUGUGACCUAUACAUACCUUUAAGAAAGAUGGAUAAGAACAAGUGAGAUGAUUAUUUUUACAAAAUUUUUUUUUAGAGACAAGGUCUUGCUCUGUCACCCAGGCUGGAGUGCAGUCGCAUGAUCAUAGCUCACUGCAGCCUUGAAGUCCUGGGCUCAAGCAAUCCUGACACCUCAGCCUCUCAAUCUCCACCCCUUCAAGCAAUAGCAAGAUUGAGCAGCAUUCACCGCCCAGGGAAGACAUCAAUUAUAAGCAGAAUGAAGAUAAGGAAGAGAUCAAAGGCCUGGAAGAAUACUGAGCAAGGGCAAGACUUCCCAUGCUAGGCCAGAACAGAUCUAGAGACCUGUAGGGUCGGAAGGGGAGAGAUGAAGAGGAAGCAAAGAGAGUGAAAAAAUGAGGCUGGAAGGAUGACCUCGGAAGUCACAUGCUGAAGAUGGAAGACAUGUUGUAGUGCUGCAUUGACCUGGGGCUCAGACAUCUCAGACUCUUGUAGAAAAAAAAAAAAAAAAAAAACAAGACACAACUUUAUUGGGUUUGGUCUUACUUAUUAUACAUAUAUGCAUUACUACAUUAAUAUAUCUUGUUCCAGCAGCUUAGUUUUUACUUUUAGCCUCUAGAGGAUUUAGUGAUUUAAGUAGCCAUGAAGGGUAAAGAACACCAGGGAUUUCACAAUGACUAAAUUUAACAGCACAGAUGGCAGGGUUGAUAGUGUGCCAUUAUUUGAGUUAAAGAAAAAGCAAAAGAAAUUGCAGCUCUGGGGAGAUGAUAAUAAACUCACAUUUUGAAGGAUGAAGUUUAUGUUACUUGUGGGAUAUCCUGUUGGAGAUAUUCAGUAGGUUUUUAGACAGUCCUGGAUCUGAGAAAAAUAUGAAAGGUUUAUAGAAGCCAGAUGCGGCAGGGAAUACAUAGGGAGAGGUUGUGCAGCUAGAAGAGAAGGCAGUCAAUUACAAGACCCCCAGAAACCAAAAGCAAUAAAUAAAUAAAUAAGGAAGACUGUCAUAAAAACAAUGUUGAAUGAUGAAACAAAAAACAAAAAAUAGGUGCUAAAAAACACACCCAUUCACACAGUGUGAUAUUAUUUAAAGAAAAGUUAAAAUAUACCAAAAUAUGACAUGACACAUUAUGUACAGGUACAUACUAUGUAGCAAAAGAAUAUUUAAAAUGCAUGUGAUUGUAAACAUGCAAGUUUGGAUAAUGGUUACACUUUCAUUUGGGCAUGAAGGAACAUACAAUCUGGGAGGAACACAUAGGGAACUUGAAAUUUGUUGAUAGUGUUUUAUUUAUUAAAAUGGAAGCAGGUACAGAAGUGCUCACUUUUUACAUAGUUCACAUGAUUUGAUAACAAAAUUUAAACCUAAAAUGCAGAAAAGAAAGAGAGUUUUACAAAGUAGGAUGCAGUUAACAAUAACAAAGGAAGAUGAGAAAUAGAAAAUGACAAUUGAAUUUGACAGCCAGUAGUUAAUUAAUGACAUUUAGAAGAGGAAUUUUAGUAAGUACAGGGGAACUGAGUUAGAUUUUUAAAAAAUGGAAUGUGUAAAAUUCCACAUUUACAUUCUAAACAUUACACUAUUUUUGUUGUGCUAUUCACUCUAGGAAAUUGCCUUAUAAUGAGGAGAAAUAAAUAAAUUUUACAUUCUGUAGUAAUUAGAGGAAAAGAUACUAAUGAGAUGAUAACUGCUCUAAUUCAUCUAAUAAAAUAUUUUUGAUUGGGUUAGUUUAUUAUAGGAAUCAGCUAUAAAAUAUUAAUCAUUUCUCACUAGUAUAUUAGAAAUAACUCUUAAAUCUGUUAAAGGUACAUAAAUUCUAGUGGGCACCUGAAUGUAAAAUAAUGAAAAGUAAAAAGACUCUGAAGAGAAAUUUUUUUUUAAAUUUAGGAAGCCAGUAAACCAUUUUCAAAAGAGUAUUUGUUAUGUUCUAAUAUUUGCGUCUCCCCGAAUUCAUAUGUUGAAACUCUAACCCGUAAGGCGAUGGCAUUAGGAGCCUUUGGGAAGUUAUUAGGUCAUGAGGGUUCCUCUUGCAUGAAUAGGAUUCCUGCCCUUAUAAAAAUGGCCCAAGAGAGCUCGCUGGCCCUUUCAGCCACAUAAGGACACAGUGAAAAAACGUUUAUAAACCAGGAAGUGGGCCCUCACCAGACACUGAACCUGUUGGCACUUUGAUUUAGAACUUCCCAGUCUCCAGAGCUGUGAGAAAUAAAUGUUGGUUGUUUAUAAGCCACACAGCCCAUGGUAAUUUGUUAUAGCAGCCUGAACAGGCUAAGACAGUUAUGUAAAUAUUACUCUUCCAAAAUAUUUUUCUUUUUUUUUUUUUUUUUUUUUGAGAUGGAGUUUCACUCUUGUUGCCCAGGUUGGAGUGCAAUGGCACGAUCUUGGCUCAUCACAACCUCCACCUCCUGGGUCCAAGCGAUUCUCCUG